GUGAGACCGUCAGCGAAGUUUUCCGGGCUUCGGCUCGACUCUCCCACCCUUUUGUGAACGUACCUCUGUUGCUUUGGCGGCUCCGGCCGCCAAAGGACCUCCAAACUCCAGUCAGUAAACGCAGACGUCUGAUAAACAAGUUAAUAAACUAAAACUUUCAACAACGGGAAUCUCUUGGUUCUGGCAUCGAUGAAAGAA
Molecule: ribosomal RNA, 198 nt
Filed under: uncultured Ascomycota
Lineage: Eukaryota; Fungi; Ascomycota
Description: partial 18S ribosomal RNA
Source: RNAcentral